AUGAAGUCUCCACUCGAAGUGUUGCUUAAUGAAACUCCAGAUUACUCCCUCCUCAAAGUGUUCGGCUGUGCGUGUUGGCCGCAUCUUCGUCCGUACAAUAAGCAUAAACUUGAGUAUCGAUCUAAACAAUGUGUGUUUCUUGGGUACAGUCCUCUCCACAAAGGUUACAAGUGUCUUCACAUCCCGUCAAAUCGUGUUUACAUUUCUCGUGAUGUUGUGUUCGAUGAGACUGUCUUCCCGUUUUCCACGCUCACAUCACCCACCGAUACUCCCGUCACUGAGUUGCACUCUUUUCCAGUUUUGCCUGAUCAAUUUGUGGAUGCUGCAUAUUCUCCUCUGUUGUUGCCUAACCAUGGUGCAGGGACUGGACGAGGCGCUCGACUUGAGCUUCUGGAUGAUGAUAUGGCCACAACUGCGCCAGUUGCUGCCAUGCCGGAUGAGGCGCUCGACGAGGCUGCCUCCGCCACUACCCCGCUUGACCCCGACGUCGAUCACGCGUGCAUGCCCCAUGCACGAGGAUCCGACGGGGUGACCAAGUCGCCGGGGUCAGCGGCCUCGCUGUCGCCUGGGCCGGCCGAACCUGCAGAGCUGUCGGCCGGGCCGGCUGGACCCGCGGCGCUCUCCCCUGAGCCGGAGGCCUCGCAGGUCACUGAGUCUUCAUCGCCUGGUCCGUCGACGCCGAUCACACCCGGUCUGUCUUCGCCGACCCUGACCGUGCCACCGGAUGCGCCUGUUGACUCGCCCGCCGGUGCGUCCUCCUCGCCGCUGAUGGAUAGUGGCUCCUCUGGUAUGGCAGCUCCACCGCCACCUCCGCCUGUCGUCCUGCGUCCCCAUACUCGCAGCAAAAGUGGCAUCUUCCAACCGAAGAAGCGCACUGACGGCACUGUCGCGUGGCUUGCGGCCUGUGUGGCACAUGCUGAGGCUGACCCUACGACUGAACCACGACAUUUUCGAGCGGCGCUUGGCAUCCCGCAUUGGCGUGCUGCGAUGGAGCAGGAGAUUCAUGCCCUUCAAAGAAACAACACUUGGCGUCUUGUUCCACCUCCAUCUGGUGUUAAUAUCAUUGACUCUAAAUGGGUAUUCAAGGUGAAGAAACAUGCUGAUGGCUCCAUUGAGAGGUACAAGGCACGCCUGGUUGCCAAGGGGUUCAAACAAUGGUAUGGCAUUGAUUAUGAAGACACAUUCAGUCCUGUUAUUAAACCAACUACUAUUCGUGUUCUUCUCUCUUUGGCUGUUACUCGCGGAUGGUCGCUUCGACAGCUUGAUGUUCAGAAUGCCUUUCUCCAUGGAGUUCUGGAAGAAGAGGUUUAUAUGCGUCAGCCGCCAGGUUUUGUUGACCCUGCUCAGCCACAUCAUUUAUGUCGUCUUGUCAAAGCUCUCUACGGUUUGAAGCAGGCCCCGCGUGCAUGGCAUGCCCGUCUUGGCGCUGCUCUUCGUGCGCAUGGGUUUGUUCCUUCUACAGCAGACACGUCUCUGUUUAUUCUACAGCGACCUGAGGUGACUAUGUACAUUCUGGUAUAUGUUGAUGACAUCAUCCUUGUCAGUUCGUCUGCUUCUGCUACAGACCGGCUUGUGUCCUCUCUUGGUGCUGAGUUUGCUGUUAAGGAUCUUGGGAGACUGCAUUAUUUUCUGGGCCUAGAGGUUCUUCAUUCUGAUGGUGGCUUGACUCUUACUCAGAAGUACUCUCAGGAUCUCCUGCGUCGUGCAGGUAUGUUGCAGUGCAAGUCUGCUACGACUCCCAUGUCUGCUACAGACAAACUGACAGCUCUUGCUGGUGACUUGCUUGCUCCUGAGGAUGCCACAGAGUACCGCAGCAUUGUGGGUGGACUGCAAUACUUGCUCAUUACUCGACCAGACAUAUCAUUUGCAAUUAACCGUGUGUGCCAGUAUCUUCAUGCACCACGUGAUUCUCACUGGUCAGCUGUUAAGCGCAUCUUGCGCUAUGUUCGUCACACUGGUUCAUAUGGUCUCCAUCUUCAGCCUGCGCGUUCUGGACUGAUCUCAGCAUUCUCUGAUGCCGACUGGGCUGGUUGUCCUGAUGAUCGGCGAUCCACGGGGGGACAUGCUGUGUUCUUUGGGCCUAACUUGAUCGCCUGGCAAGCUCGCAAGCAAGCUACGGUGUCUCGGAGUAGUACCGAAGCUGAGUACAAAGCUGUUGCUAAUGCCACAGCUGAGAUCAUGUGGGUGCAGUCAUUGCUUCGAGAGUUGAAGGUCUCCCCAACUCAGCCGCCUGUUCUUUGGUGUGAUAACAUCGAUGCAACAUACCUUUCAUCCAAUCCAGUAUUUCAUGCCCGAACGAAGCACAUCGAAGUUGACUAUCAUUUUGUGAGGGAACGUGUUGCUCAGAAGCUCCUUCAGAUUAAGUUUGUUUCUUCGAAGGAUCAGCUUGCUGAUAUUUUCACUAAACCCUUGCCCUUGCCUUCUUUUGAAGGAUGUCGUCGCAAUCUUAACCUUCUGAGUGUUUCAGGACAUAGUUAA
This 2478-nucleotide ribosomal RNA is filed under the name Triticum aestivum (bread wheat). Its description in RNAcentral is "partial small subunit ribosomal RNA". Lineage: Eukaryota; Viridiplantae; Streptophyta; Magnoliopsida; Poales; Poaceae. The record is from RNAcentral.